AAAGGACACUACAUUAUGUACAACUUAAUGUGCUGGUUCUGUUUGGUUUUCUGAUAUUUUUUUAUGUACAUACUUAUGUAGGGCUUUUUGUUUGAGAUUUAGGCAAGUCAUUCCUUCAUCAUGUCUUUGUAUAUAGAGAUGCUUUGACAAAUAUAUCAGCACCAAAUCAUGACUCCUGUUCCUAGUAGUUCAUUUCCUUGUUGAAACAAGGGUUUCCUCAACUUCACUUUUACACUUAUUGGCUAUUUUCAGGUAAGUAAUACUUUAGCAUCCAAGCAUUAUUUUACUCAAUGGAAUUGAAUAUCAGUGCAAAAAGGACCUACCCAUUUCUAUGUAAGACAUAUUGGUGGAUACAUUAUUGCUUAAUAAUUAUAAUUUAACAAUUAAGUAAUUCAACCAGACUAAAAGGAAAAAGUGACUGCUACAUACCCUUCGUUCAGUAGGUACAAUUCCUUUAUAGAAAAUUGUUACCACUUCUCAAUUCUAUACCUCUAUUCAAAGAUCUAAAAUGCCACACUUUUCAAUAAUGGACCUUGCUUGAAAUGUAGAAACAGAAUGCUAUUAGUAAAGGUUCUUUGACUUUUAUGCUAUUUUCUAUAUCAAAAUUUAUAUUAAAGCCCUAAGCAAUGAUUCCGUUUCACUUUUUGUGUUCAAUUGAUAUUAGGUUUACUAGCUAGAUCUAUGAAUUUUCUUUGGAAGUUCAUUUCAAGAUUAACUUUAUCUCUGUCAACAAUUCCAAACAAAGGGGACCCAAAAGGUCUAUUUUAACUCUACAUUUUUCUAUUAAAGAUUCAUAUUUUUUCUUCUUCUUCACAAUAUAUAGAUUUCUGGGCCAAGAACCCUUUUGGACGUAUUGCAAAGAGAGGUGUUGCUAACCCAUCUUUUUAAAAACCUUUUUUUGAUGCUGAAUUUCAUGGUGGUGGAGCUCCACCAUGACUAGUGUCCACAGGAAUGUGAUAAUAAUACAGAGUACCUUAGCUGGAUCUCAUAAAUGUUUGUUAACUUGUCUGGCUUUGCUAUCUCAUCCAGUAGUACUACUACUACAUCUCCUAUCCUAAUAAUGGUCUAUCCAAGAUGUAAUCAAUAGUUAUUUUGUGUAUAUGUUGUUGUCUCAUCCAUUGCACCAUUUUCUGCUUUCAGGAUCCUCUUUUGCUUGUUAGGCAUCAUAAGUUUGAUGGGACUAAUUGGAUUUAGAAAUAAGUAUAGAAAAUGUUGUAAUAAUUAAUUGAUUAUUUGUUUAUUUGCAAGUAUGCCAUCAUUUGAGCCACCUAAUGCAUUUCAUCCUCUAUUAUAUUAUAUUUAAUUAGUUAUGACAACAUCUGUUGCAAAGUUUGCUCUAUUGACUCACCACAUGAACAUCUGUUACAAGUUACAGGUUACAGAGGACUGAGAAUUCUGCAACAGUACUUUGUCAUCUGACCUGAACAUAUAUUUUGCAGAAUUCCACUCAAUUAUAGUGGUUGCAUGAAAGACUAUAAAAUCUGAAAAAGAAAAUUAUAAAGAGAAAAAAAAAAAGGAAAGAAAGAAAGUAAUGCAGAAUGUAUGCAUGACAUUCUUGGAAUAAUGGCCUUCUAGUACUCCAACAAAUAAGAACUAAUAAGCUUGUUUCAAGAAACUUUCUGUUUCCAAACUCUCAUGCAUGGAAGUUGUGAUAGCAGGACAUUGGUUUCUUUUCUUGAUUUGUAUACAUAAGAUUGAAGGAUCUUUAAAGAAGAGAAAACAAAUUAAGUACAGAAAUGUUUUCUAUAGGACAAACGGAAUGUCAUGUCUCAUGUCUUCAAGAGGCCUCCUUAUUAAGAACUGAGAAUUUAUAAGUUUCAUCAAUUCUACCACACAUAAGUGUUACAGUAAAAAAAAGAAGAAGAAGAAGAAGAAGAAAUUAAUGGGUGGACAAAGGAAGGACUUGGAUCAAUCUAAUUUAACCAAUCUGUGAAAGAAUAAGGAUGAUAUGAAAAAGCAAUAUGUUCUUUUCUUUUCUUUUCUUUUUUCUGUUUUAAAUAAUCAGAAGUUGAUUUUGAAAAGGAAUAUUGUGGAUUUCUCUGCAUGACUGCAUAUCAUGUGUAAUUCUGAUGAUGAUAAUAUUCUUUCUCACGUAUGUUUUGAGAAUUUCAAUAAUACAUUACUCAAAGUAAUAUGCUAAAUACACCAACUCAGAUUUAGCUUU
Long non-coding RNA from Ricinus communis (castor bean), 2164 nucleotides. RefSeq lists it as uncharacterized. The record is from RefSeq and is a predicted model, not a curated record. NCBI's taxonomy places the organism in Eukaryota, Viridiplantae, Streptophyta, Magnoliopsida, Malpighiales, Euphorbiaceae. The transcript has 2 exons.